Molecule: long non-coding RNA, 3263 nt
Filed under: Bos grunniens (domestic yak)
Lineage: Eukaryota; Metazoa; Chordata; Mammalia; Artiodactyla; Bovidae
Description: lncRNA (ENSBGRG00000010512.1)
Source: RNAcentral
AUGCACUCCCCCCCCCCCCGCCCCACCACCCCCUUCCUUUUCCACCGUCCACCGGAAACUAGAUGGUAUUUAUCCCCAAGGAUGGUAUCUUGUCAGUGUCUGUCCCACGUUCUGGCUGAAAAAGUUCUCUGGAGUGAUGUGGAGGUGUCCAAAAAUCCACGCCGUGUGGAAGGGACUGUUUCCUGGAGUGGGAUGGACAAGGUGGGAGGAAAGGGAAAUGAGAAAACCACUUCUGAUGGGCAGCGGGUGUGUGAGCGUGUAAGAGUGUUUUGGUCCUCACACCGCCCUCCCCCCCUCAGCUCUCCACCCCGCGAGGAGGAGGGACUGCCACGCGGGUGCCUCGCUCGUUCGCUAGAACUCCGGGUCGGGACUGCCCCGGGAUUCAAGGGGGGCUCGAAAGGGGGCAGGCCUCUGCUCCCCCUUCCCAGGGGCCAGACCCCCUCCCGCGCAUUUCCCAUCACACCCCCAGGCCUCCGCUCCCACGCCGCUCGGACCCCAGCCCCCCGCGCGCCCCGGGCCCAGUCGCCCGGCCCCUUCCCUGGCACCCGCACCCCCGCCCGCAGCCGAGGCUCCAGAUGGCGGCUCCUCGCGCUCGGCUCGCGGCCCCCAGACGCCGCCCGGCAGCAGCCGCCGGUCUCUCCCUCCCUCCCAGCUGCUGCGGCUGCGGAGACGGCGACUGCUCGGCGAGGAGGGCGGGUUCCUCCGCCGGCUAGGCUUGGGGUAGGAGCCGGGCCGCCGAGGGGCGCGCCGGAGCUGUGCCCGCGGGGAAGGAGCCCAGCAGGCCCCAGGAGCAGAGAGAGUUGAAUGUAAAAAAGAACCCUGAGACCCCCCAGCGAAAAUGUGUGGCGGAAUCCUGCAGAAGGAGUCAACUUUCAGGGUGUUAAAGACUUCCAGUCAUUAGCAUCAGCUGCUGCACUAAAGGGGCAAGCCAGCGCCUCUAAGUGGCUUAGCGCACAAACACUGCACUCCCCACUCCCAUUCCCCAUCCCUUGCCACCUCCCCUGCCCCCACACACAUUUUGCUGUAGUUUCUUAGGGACCACAACUCUCUUAUGGCUACUUCUUUAUCUUAAUUUGCUGUUGUUUACACCUUCUUCCUUCUCUGAAUUCACUUAAGUGAAUUCUAAAACACUGCAAGUUAUUUUUCAGAUGUUUGAGAUAAUUCUUUUGACAUUUCUAAUCCCAUCACCCUUUCUUUAAACAAGUGAUGAGAGAUGCUUGUGUGUGUGUGUGUGUGUGUGUGUGAAUGAGAUGAGGGAAUAAUGAAUGGAGCAUCCAGUUAUAAGCCAAAUGGUGACUUUGGCUUAUAACUUUGAAGAUUUUAUAUAGACACAUAUGAAAACUCUCAGCAUUAAGCCUUGGUCAUUACAUGAGUUGCCCUUAGCCAAACUAUUUUAAAGUGUGGACAAGUAUAAGAGAAAAGAUACGUUCAGAUGGAAGGCAACUGCAGUUUGAGGUUUCUUUGAAAAGUUGAUAACUAACCUGAAAAUUAAGGGCGAAUUCUCCCUUUACUUCCUAGUAUAUGGAGAUUUUGCAACUUUUCUUUCUUCAAGUCAGCUUAGGCAAUGGGCCCUGUCUAAUCAGAAGGAUUCCGAAUUUAUGUGUGGGGGGCGGGGAGCGGGAGAGCAGGGAGCGCGGCUGGCCAGGGCUGGAUGAAAAGAGAGGGGAGGAGCGGGGGUGACAGGAAAACUCAGUGGGAAAUUCCUCGCACUGUUUUUUAAUUUCUCCUCUGCAGAAUUCUUUCCAGGCCUCCUAGUACUGUGGGAGCCAGGGGUAAAGAUGCUCCGUGCCUGGUUGCUUCACUGGGUUCCGGAGGGAGGUCUCAGAGCAUCAAAGCACACACCUUUUCCUUUUAAGCUGCUCUUCGCCAACCCCCAAUCCACUUACUUUGUUUGAACACAGGAUACAAACUAGGCUGUCUCAAGUCCUGGCCACUUUAACUGGCUACUCGUCCGAUUUAUCCUAAAGCUAAUGGAUUGCCCUCUUCAAUGUAGUGGUGGCGUGGGUGGGGCUGAAGGAAUAGGACUGUCUAUACCACUCAAAGGUCUUUCUUCCCUUAGGAGCAGAGAGAGUUGAAUGUAAAAGAACCCUGAGACCCCCCAGCGAAAAUGUGUGGCGGAAUCCUGCAGAAGGAGUCAACUUUCAGGGUGUUAAAGACUUCCAGUCAUUAGCAUCAGCUGCUGCACUAAAGGGGCAAGCCAGCGCCUCUAAGUGGCUUAGCGCACAAACGAGGCUUCCGAGACGGUCUCGGCCACUCCAUCCGCUCUUCCACCACCUGCUGGACGUGAAAAGCUCUCCAGAGCCCACCUCGGUAAUAAUUUUUACUUUUAAUUCACCUUCCCCAACCCCGGGGGUCUUAGAAUACCGGCCUCUCCUGGCAGGGGACCCCCUUGGGGACUAGGCGGAACGCGCCAGGCUGAGGGAGGCGCAGGAAGAGCUUGCGUCUCGCAAUCUGGGUUUUCUUUCCCACCCGUCUCCUCCUCAGCCCUUCUCCCGCCCGGUACUUGUGUACUGGGCCCAAAAGACCCCUGUAAAUCCCCUUCGGAGGUCUGGCGGCGUCUCUACUCCAUCCCUCUUACCCAACACCGUGUUCAAGGAAGGACUGAGCCAAGUUUUCACCAAAGCGCAUCCUUUUUGAGUCUUGCUCUUAAGGGCUUGGUAGUGUGAGCGCUCCUGGAGAGCGCUGGUGAGGGUUUGUCAACCCCCUGGGCAACUAGCUGCGCGUAUCAGCUGCGGCUGGAGGGGCUAAUCCACAAACCCCCUUCCCCUCCAGAAAACUCAGACUCGGGGAAAUGCGCGCGGGGUCCUUGCUCGCUCUGAGUGAACAACCGUUUGCCAGGGGUUCUCCAGGUGCCAAGAGAAACGGGAAAAGGCCCUCUCCAGGUCUUUUUGGUACUUCCCUUUCCGACCCCCAAGCUGAUCACCGCCCCCAACCAGUCCCAGAGGGCCCAGGCUUUCGGAGGAGUUGAGCCGGGCCGAGGUCCGAGAGGCGUUGCCACAUGGGGAAAGAGCUCAGGGGCUGCGCGGGGCGCGGGCAGGCCGGCGAGACCGCUUCCAGGCAGGCGGCGCCGCCGGAGGGAGCGCCCAGCCCAGCAAAGAGUUAAAGGGAGGGGACGUGGGCUGUCACGCGUCAUUGGGCAGAUUAUGUGCAGCAAACAAAAAGUGUGUGUCUGCGUGCCAGUCAGUCACUGCAUCGGGCCCAUCUGUACAACUCUCUCUUCUCUCUCCUCUCCCUACUCUCCCUGGUUUCUCUCUCUGCGUCUC